GCGGGGCUGGGGGGCGAGCUCGUCGCCGAUCCGAGCGGCGAGCUCGGCGACCUCGGCGGUGUCGGUGACGAGCACGGCGUCGGUCUCGCGC
Molecule: transfer RNA, 91 nt
Filed under: Phycicoccus endophyticus
Lineage: Bacteria; Bacillati; Actinomycetota; Actinomycetes; Micrococcales; Intrasporangiaceae
Description: tRNA-Arg
Source: RNAcentral